GACGAACGCUGGCGGCGUGCUUAACACAUGCAAGUCGAACGCUGAAGCUCAGCUUUUGUUGGGUGGAUGAGUGGCGAACGGGCGAGUAACACGUGAGUAACCUGCCCCCUUCUUUGGGAUAACGCCCGGAAACGGGUGCUAAUACUGGAUAUUCACUGGUCUUCGCAUGGGGGUUGGUGGAAAGGGUUUUUCUGGUGGGGGAUGGGCUCGCGGCCUAUCAGCUUGUUGGUGGGGUGAUGGCCUACCAAGGCCUUGACGGGUAGCCGGCCUGAGAGGGUGACCGGUCACAUUGGGACUGAGAUACGGCCCAGACUCCUACGGGAGGCAGCAGUGGGGAAUAUUGCACAAUGGGCGCAAGCCUGAUGCAGCGACGCCGCGUGAGGGAUGGAGGCCUUCGGGUUGUGAACCUCUUUCGCUCAUGGUCAAGCCGCAACAAUGGUUGUGGUGAGGGUAGUGGGUAAAGAAGCGCCGGCUAACUACGUG
RNAcentral lists this ribosomal RNA (483 nucleotides) under uncultured bacterium. Its description in RNAcentral is "partial 16S ribosomal RNA". It matches the Rfam family "Bacterial small subunit ribosomal RNA", at positions 28 to 507 of the family's 1533-position model. The record is from RNAcentral.